GAUGAAGAACGCAGCGAAAUGCGAUAAGUAGUGUGAAUUGCAGAAUUCAGUGAAUCAUCGAAUCUUUGAACGCACAUGGCGCCUUCCAGUAUCCUGGGAGGCAUGCCUGUCCGAGCGUCGUUUCAACCCUCGAGCCCCCGUGGCCCGGCGUUGGGGAUCUGCCACGGCAGGCCCCUAAAACCAGUGGCGGACCCGAAGGCCCUCUCCUUGCGCAGUAGCAUCAGCCUCGCAUUGGGAUCCCUCGGCGUCCUGCCUCUAAACCCCCCACAAGUCCGCUCCGGCGGCACCAAGGUUGACCUCGGAUCAGGUAGGAAUACCCGCUGAACUUAAGCAUAUCAAUAAGCGGAGGA
This 350-nucleotide unclassified non-coding RNA is filed under the name soil metagenome. RNAcentral describes it as "partial contains 5.8S ribosomal RNA, internal transcribed spacer 2, and large subunit ribosomal RNA". The stretch from base 1 to 120 matches the Rfam family "5.8S ribosomal RNA", at positions 35 to 154 of the family's 154-position model. The record is from RNAcentral.